RNAcentral lists this ribosomal RNA (492 nucleotides) under uncultured bacterium. RNAcentral's name for it is "partial 16S ribosomal RNA". It matches the Rfam family "Bacterial small subunit ribosomal RNA", at positions 29 to 507 of the family's 1533-position model. The record is from RNAcentral.
AGUGAACGCUGGCGGUAUGCCUAACACAUGCAAGUCGAACGGCAGCACAGUAAGAGCUUGCUCUUACGGGUGGCGAGUGGCGGACGGGUGAGGAAUACAUCGGAAUCUACUUUUUCGUGGGGGAUAACGUAGGGAAACUUACGCUAAUACCGCAUACGACCUACGGGUGAAAGCCGGGGAUCUUCGGACCUUGCGCGAUUGAAUGAGCCGAUGUCGGAUUAGCUAGUUGGCGGGGUAAAGGCCCACCAAGGCGACGAACCGUAGCUGGUCUGAGAGGAUGAUCAGCCACACUGGAGCUGAGACACGGUCCAGACUCCUACGGGAGGCAGCAGUGGGGAAUAUUGGACGAUGGGCGCAAGCCUGAUCCAGCCAUACCGCGUGGGUGAAGAAGGCCUUCGGGUUGUAAAGCCCUUUUGUUGGGAAAGAAAAGCAGCAGGUUAAUACCCCGCUGUUCUGACGGUACCCAAAGAAUAAGCACCGGCUAACUUCGUG